AUUUGGCUUCUGAAAGGCCUUGAAGGCCUGCCUCUGCCUGCUGGCAUGAGACCCCAAUGAGAAAGUAGCAUCUUGGAUGUGAUUAAUGGAUUAGACCACCUUGGCAGCUUGAAGAAGUAUGGACUUCAACUCCCAGAAUUCCCAGCCAGCAGGGUUGAAGUCCACAUAUUUUCAAGCUGCUAAGGUUGAGAAACAUUGGAUUAGACAGACACCUCCCACCUCUUCCCAGUGUGCACUUUGCUUCCUUCCUCCAAUUUUGGUUAAUUGAAAAUCUCAGCAGCUUUCAUUCCCAGAAUUCCCCAGCCAGCAGGCAGGAGGUGAAGUUCACACAUCUUAAAGUUGCUGUGAUUGAGAAAUGGUGAUGAUUGCUGUUCCUCAAUGGUAUGAUAUGGUUUUUGAAUAUCCAGAAAAAGAAGGAGUUUUUCCUGAGUUGUUUCUGAUUUAGUCAGAAACAAGUCAUUGUUAAAAGAAUGGCUGGUAUGUUCCCACUCCUUUUUCUUUGAAUUACAGGGUUUAGUGCGCACAAGUCCCAUAGAGUCCACAAAGCUCUAAUUAACACCCACAGUGAAAUAUCUUUUGUUAAACUGGUCAUUAAGCACACUUUUCUGUAGGAAAAAAACAUGUUAGCUUGGUGGUCUAAUGAAGGGAUAUACUGCCAAUGCUGACAGGCUCAUAAUUGAACUAACUCUAAAAAUAACAUAUGUGCCUUUACCUUUUUUUUUUCCAGGCCUUGAAAAAAAUAUAUUAAUAAUUAACUAUAUACUUUGCUUUAAGAGAAAUUCAAGAGAUUUUUACUUCCUGAAUAAAAUGACUUAACUCUCGGAAAGUAUUGUGCCCUGUGCAUUGGUUUCUUUUUUGCUUGUUGAACUGCCCUUUGCCUCCUCUUCACCUCCCAUAGAAACUCGCCUGCCAGUUAAGAUCAGCUUCGCAGGUCCUUCUCUGGGGGCAUCUCUCAAUUAGAAUUAGGACUACAAACACACCUUGAAGAACAAAUGGGCCUAAAAGUACCAGCUUUAAUUAUGGUACCUGUGGUGGACUUGCCAGGAAACAAAAUGAUUCACAUAGCAUGUUGGCUCAGCCAGUAACUAAGGAUCACACAUCACGAACAAGAAAACAUCAAUAAUGGAGUUAUUGGUGGAGUUAGUACUAACUACUCUGUGUAUUAUCUGAUGCUAAUAAGUACAUUUAAACUUAGAAUAUUUGUCAACAAUUUUUUCUAGCUGCCUUCUGACAGAAUUCAGAAAUAAUGUCUGUAAUUCCAGAAUCCUCUAAAAUCCUUGUAUUUUUCAUAUUAAAAUCAAAAUUAUGAUGCAUCAUUUUGGUGUGGUUUUUACAGAGAAUUCAUCAGACAAAAGUUUUUAAAGUUUUUAUUUAUAUAUUGCAAUAAUUUAGUUCAAACAUUCCAUAUAUUUCCAAUAUGUACUUAUAAAUAUUUUACUUCUAUGAAAUAUAUACAAGUGUUUUCUUAAAAUGAAGUUAACCUUCCAUUUAAUGUAUCAAAUAUAAAUGAAUUGUUGCUGAGGCCAUCAUUUUAUUGUGGCACUUGCAGUGAAUUAUCCUGAGCAGGAUUCUACAUAUUUGUUUCAAAAAAAAAGUCUCUCUAUUGUUUUAAUCAACUCCUGCAAAUGUUUGCCAAAUUAAAGACUUAUUUUGUAAA
Molecule: long non-coding RNA, 1657 nt
Organism: Crotalus tigris (Tiger rattlesnake)
Lineage: Eukaryota; Metazoa; Chordata; Lepidosauria; Squamata; Viperidae
Exons: 2
Source: RefSeq, a predicted model, not a curated record